AGCCCCAGAAAUAACAAUAUUAUUUCAUUCUCUUUCAUGCUGCACUUUUGUUCCUCUUCUUCAAAACAUAGGGAAAAUCGAGAGUGAAAUUCGGAGUUGAUAUCAGUGGGUUUUGUAAUUUAACAAUGGAAUCAGCAUUGCCAGUAAAGAAAAUCAUGGAAGACGAAGAAGAAGGAGAAGAAAGUGAUAGAGGUAGUCAAAUACGUCAUGUACCAUUCUUCAGUAGAUUCUUGUUUUACGGCUACCAUUGGAUCUCCAAAUGUUAUGUCUCAGAAGGGUUUAUGUAAGAUUGAUCUCUCUUCCUCCAUCUCGAAGCACCAACACAUGAUCAGGAAAGCUGAUGAUAUGUGCACCAUCUUUAUGCUGAUGGUGGUCAUUUAAAGCCCUACUUACAGUAGGGCAGGGCUAUUGCUAGGCAACUGUACUUGGGAUUUUUUGUCCCAGGGAGACUCGAAUGUUUAUCGAAGCUGGUAUCCAUGUAGCUGACAACUGCGGUUCUAUUUAUGUGCUUAUUUGAACUCUUCUAAUAACAAAGGAGGAGACCUCAGCUUCAUUGUCUUUGGAACCUCUAUUGGACACGAGUGGUAUUAGUAUUCAUUUCUGGUGAGGGACAUUGUGGAGGAUUUGUUGUUGGUGGAUAGGUGUUGAGGAAGGAGGAUUAUGUUAUAGGAGUCCUUUUGUGGUGCCUAUGUAGGAUUAGGAGGUGGUGAUGUUGGUGCUGCAGGUGGUGGUGGACUAGCAUAGGCUUCCUGUGGAGGUAGAUGCUUGUACACCAAAGCCUGUUUUAAGAGAGGAUAUGCAGAAGAUACCGGAUGGUGUUCACAAGCCCAAGGUGCAUAUGGAUACUGAGAAUGAAGAGGAAGUUGAAGAUGAUGAGGCACUAGUGGAGGAGGCAUAUGACCAGGAUCCUUCAGCGCAGAAGUGUUUGGGCACCGACGCUUUUACCAUGCUAAAUAUUUGGCGUUGAUCGAAAGGGUUACAUACGCAUAAUGGGUGCUGGUGUUUCUAAAACUCAAAUUCUUGUUGUUGCGUUUAUGAAGGCCAAGUUCCAGGAAGUGAAGGUCAAUGUGCGGAAGAAGAAGCAGAAAAAUGAAGCCUUGGAAGCACAGUUGGAUGUUGAAAGACAGAAAAACAACACUGGAGUAUAUGAAAGUAGAUUGAAUACAGUUCUAAUGUUCAAAUAUGUAGUAUCUUUCCAUUUGUAUUUGAUGAUUUCAUUUUCUUGGAUGUUAUGCUGGGUAAUUAAUAAAAGUUAAUUUCAGAUUCAGUUGAAAUUGUAAUU
This is an RNA transcript of Papaver somniferum (opium poppy), 1282 nucleotides long. RefSeq lists it as uncharacterized. Lineage: Eukaryota; Viridiplantae; Streptophyta; Magnoliopsida; Ranunculales; Papaveraceae. The record is from RefSeq and is a predicted model, not a curated record. The transcript is spliced from 7 exons.